RNAcentral lists this ribosomal RNA (403 nucleotides) under Fusobacteriota bacterium. RNAcentral's name for it is "Fusobacteria bacterium partial 16S ribosomal RNA". It matches the Rfam family "Bacterial small subunit ribosomal RNA", at positions 355 to 776 of the family's 1533-position model. Lineage: Bacteria; Fusobacteriati; Fusobacteriota. The record is from RNAcentral.
UGGGGAAUAUUGCACAAUGGAGGGAACUCUGAUGCAGCGACGCCGCGUGAACGAAGAAGGCUUUCGAGUCGUAAAGUUCUUUUAUAUGGGAAGAUAAUGACGGUACCAUAAGAAAAAGCCCCGGCGAACUACGUGCCAGCAGCCGCGGUAAUACGUAGGGGGCUAGCGUUGUCCGGAAUCACUGGGCGUAAAGGGUUCGCAGGCGGAAAUGCAAGUCAGGUGUAAAAGGCAGUAGCUUAACUACUGUAAGCAUUUGAAACUGCAUAUCUUGAGAAGAGUAGAGGUAAGUGGAAUUUUUAGUGUAGCGGUGAAAUGCGUAGAUAUUAAAAAGAAUACCGGUGGCGAAGGCGACUUACUGGGCUCAUUCUGACGCUGAGGAACGAAAGCGUGGGUAGCAAACAGG